This 524-nucleotide small RNA is filed under the name Oryza sativa Japonica Group (Japanese rice). RNAcentral's name for it is "sRNA Os07g0558350". The record is from RNAcentral. Lineage: Eukaryota; Viridiplantae; Streptophyta; Magnoliopsida; Poales; Poaceae.
GAUCAAUUCAGCAAGCUUGUUGUGCAGGACGCCGUUGGUGAUGAGAAUGCCACCAUGAGGGUAAAUGUCUCUGCGCCCAGUUAGGUCAGCUUCAAGAUCCAAAGGUUCCCCUCUCCAGUCAGUAACCUGCCAGUCAAACAAAUCACAGAAUCACCAUGGUUAAUAAUGUUUCAGUGUUUACGUUGGUUAAUUGAUUGAACAAAUGCUAAGCGUGUUAUUCCAUACUUGGCCUCCAGCUUCCUGCACACAAAUUACUCCUACAGUAUGAUCCCAAGACUGUAAACAGUGGAGAAAAUAAAGGAUCAGUGCGGUUAUAAACUAAGUCAAGAGUUUGUUUAGUUUGGACAGAAACUGCAAACAAGAUUUCACCUUGAGGCUUUUCGUCCGUGCUUUAAGGACGAAAACUGAGGCUCUCCCAUAGGCUACAGUAAGGUACUUGCACAAACUACGGAAGAUGAAUAAGAAGAAUGCAUUCGAUCACUUAUACUGACCAAUUUAUAAAUAAUUUAAGAUUAGUCAUUAUC